AAUCUCACGCCUUCAAUUAAAUUUUAGGUUAAAUACACAAGAGUUGAGCCGUCCCACUCAUUCAAACAACUACUAUCUAUUAUUGCAAGUUAUAUUUUGAGUGUGAGAGUGUGAGUGUUUUCUAAUUCACGGCGGCCCGCAAAUAUUUGGAAAUUCACGACUGCAAAGUGAUUGGAAAUUCAAGGGUAUUGCUAAGUGUUAGGAAUAUUUUCGGCUUUGGGCAUAUUAAUUUGGGGCUUCAAGAAUUAUUCGUCUCUUUGCACAUUUUUUGCGGCUUCAAGAAUUCAUUCGCGGCUUAUUGCAUACUAUCAAGAAUUUCCGGUUUCAAGGCAUACUCUGUGGCUUCUUCUUCAACCCAAGUAAGCAUCGAAUCUCCUUGAGCAUAUUUUUAUGUAUUUUAAGCAUGUUAAUUCGUAUAAAUUGAGCUUUAUUUUAGUUUCGUGGAUUUAUUUGAUUAUUUUGUAUGGUAUGUUGUUGGAUCGUGGCUUUGUUUUAGUUUGGUGAUUUGCUGUUUUUUUUAGGCGAUGAUUUGUUGUUGAAGCAUGUAUGUUUAGAACCGUGACUUUAUUUUACUUUCGUGGAUUUAUUAGUUUGGUGGAUUUGAUUUUUGUUAAUAGGGAUAUUACUUUGGUGGAUUUAUUUAGUGUAUAGAGACGAUUCGUGUAUAGAGAUAUUAGUUAGUUUGGUCAAUUUAUUUGAAAUUUUGUUGGAGACAAUUCAUAUAUAGAUGUGCAUUAUUUGAUAUUUGGUUUGAGAUAAUUCGUGUAAUUAGCUAAAUGGAGCUUUAUAUUAGUUUGUUGGAUUUAUUAGUUUAGGUCCUUUUAUAUGUUAAUUUGGGGCUUCAAGAAUUAUUCGUCUCUUUGCACAUUUUUUGCGGCUUCAAGAAUUCAUUCGCAGCUUAUUGCAUACUAUCAAGAAUUUCCGGCUUCAAGGCAUACUCCGUGGCUUCUUCUUCAACCCAAGAGAUUAUCCCUUAUUGGAAGCCCGAGACGAUCAAUCGUCCUAGAAUAGCGAUUAGUACGUACUACAAGACCAAGUACCUGCAGACAGUAGUGCGGAAACUAAAUGACAUCGGGGUGAUGUACUGGGGAACAUAUUUCAACAUGGGUGCUUUGGUAUGUUGUUGGAUUGGGCGUCGGGCCCCAAGUGCAACACGACAUUGCACCAUGUUGUCUCUCGUCAGAUUAAGAUAAGAGGCGACGGCAAGGAGGAUGAAAUCAUCUGGUUCUACAUCAAUUAAUGGGAGGAUGAUUUGCUUAUCAUCGAGAGAUUUUGCCCUCGUCACAGGAUUGUCAUUCGGGGCGUCGCCUUUUGAUCCAGAGGCAAAGUACGAUAUGAGGAGGGCACAAACCUUCAGACGAUUUUGCAACGGGCAGCAUACGUCAGUUGGGGCGUUGAGCGAUAAAUUUAUGGCCCAGCAGGUUGACGACCCCGACGGCGGGAUAUACCUUCGUGUGGCCCACUUGUUGGUGCUACACGCAUUCGUUUUGGAAGUGGACUUGCCACGACCCGUGGAGCCCUGAAUUUGGGCUUUAGUGGAUGACUUGCAGGCGUUUUCCACAUUUUAUUGGGGAGCGUACGCGUAUAAAGCCCUGAAUUACAGGAUGAAGAAUAUUCCUGCAGAUAUUCCUACAAGCGGGAAGUACCACUUCUACGGUCCUUCUUGGGCCCUAUUUGUUUGGGCUCUUGAGGUUAUCCCCAACUUGGGCAGAGCCGUGGCCAUAUGUAAUGCAGGGAGAUACCCUAGAUGCUAGAAGUGGACGUUCUUGAAGACCAGCAGAGAAGAGUUACAACCCUUAUUUGAGAUAGAGGGUGGAGAGAUUUACGAGAUGAGGCCCGAUGAGUACGAGGUCACGACGCUUUACUGGCUAUCGGUGGCAGGCGGCGGUGAUUUAGGCGUCUCAUUUCCAGGUCCGGAGGCAUUCGGCCCCAGGCAGGCUCGGCAGCGCCAUAGUGGUGGGGACCAGACCUCCUCCAUGAUCUCACUCAGAGAGGAGACGCGAGCCCAAGUCCGAUCCAGCGACGCGUGCAUCAUCGGAGGCCCCAUCGCGUCAUCAGUCCCCUGCACAUGACUCCUUUGCACGGGAGGCGGGACAUCCUACCGUUGAUGAUGUGCACACCCACAUAGGCAGUAUGAUGCUUUUGGUGGUCCAACUAAUUUUGGGGAUAUCCAUACUCCAUACAUGGGCGGCCAACAGUGGCAGUUGACGCUAUUGGGUGAGUCGAGUUCUUAUGGAGGUCCACGUUAUUCAUAUCAUGAGCAGAGCACUAGCUCAGCAUACCUGACUGAGCAGGCUCGUCAUUCGGUGCCAGAUCUGAGAGAUCCCGGAUAUUUAUCGGUAGAAAUCCACCAGUAUUGGCAGAACAUAGGACUGUAUUUGUCCACCAGAGGUUGUACCACCGCGUAGAAGCCACCGUGAACAGCAGCCUUCGGUUGCACUUUGUUCACCAUACGUUCACAGCACUGAGUCCAAACCCGUCGAGCAGCAAUAUGUUGACGCAUUUUAGCGUAUGCUGAAUGCAGGCCGCCGGCGCUACAAGGAGGUAGUUUCAGGCUCAACGAAUGCGUCAUCAUAAUAUUGUUGAUGCUGUACAUCAAGUUUGCAACAGUUUCGUUGACGAGGGAAAGGACCUCUGUAGCCUGCCAACAUAGUAUAUACCAUCGACGGCUCCGUUGUAUCUCACAUAUACGUAUCUCACGAAUUCCAUCUAUAAAAUCACA
Long non-coding RNA from Salvia miltiorrhiza (redroot sage), 2722 nucleotides. RefSeq lists it as uncharacterized. The record is from RefSeq and is a predicted model, not a curated record. The transcript is spliced from 4 exons. Lineage: Eukaryota; Viridiplantae; Streptophyta; Magnoliopsida; Lamiales; Lamiaceae.